Poecilia latipinna (sailfin molly) is the source of this 2453-nucleotide long non-coding RNA. RefSeq lists it as uncharacterized. The transcript has 2 exons. Lineage: Eukaryota; Metazoa; Chordata; Actinopteri; Cyprinodontiformes; Poeciliidae. The record is from RefSeq and is a predicted model, not a curated record.
UUUCUUUCUUUCUUUCUAAUCUGUACUUCCAUCAGUCUGACCUUUAACCUUUUGGAUGAUGUCAAUUGUCUCGGAUGUGAAGACCUGCUGCCAGGAACCUCUCACUAGACGACAACAAAGGGUGACGGCAGAAUAAGAGCGAGUGAGAGGGACGAGGACAGCAGAAGGGGAGCGGGAGAAAUGGAGCUGCUCAAAUGGAUGAAUGAGGAAAAACAAACGAGCUGGCAAAGUGGAAUGUAAAGAAAUGAGAAAAGUGUUUAAAAGAUGAGCUGAGAUUCAGCGGGACGGAUAGAAAGAAGGACAGCGGCAGCACGAUUUUGGUCGAAGCCUCUUUGACAUUGUCAGGCUUCCUGGGUCCCCAUGGAAACUAAAAAAAUCAGCAUGUUUGCUCAAAAUACUUUCAUCAGUGCCCCGAAUCAGAGCCAACAGAAGUAUGAGGGAUGACGAGAGACCGAAUAAAAAAACAAACGCAAAUAACAAAGAGCAAAAAGACAGAAGAAAAAAGCAAAAACAAACAUAGUGAAAGCUGAUUUUUGAAUAACCGCUCAUUGACCCGUGCUGUUUUGUACACAAUCAUGUUCAGGAGUUCAGCAAGGUUUUAAGUAGCCAUUGCUUUAGGGAUCAAACUGUAGAGUAAUGAUGUUGCCGUGUUUACACGAGGCAUUACGGUUAUAGCCUUUGGUCCGUUAGAAUAAGCUCUGGACAGUUAACAAACACCCGCUUUAUUAACUUUUUUUUCCGUAAAUAAGUCGCACAAGAUCAAUGCAUUCAUGAAUAAAAGAAGUAGAGUUUGUUUCACCCUCACCACAGAUUGCUCUGUGUCCCAGUUUAACCCAUCACUUCAACACAGAACCAGUCACUUCACUUUAAUACUGAGUAAACUUGUUUUUCAUUUAAUGGUUAACUAGUAAGCCAACAGUUAAUUGUUUAAUAAUUUGUGAGGAAGGAAGCAGCAUUUUAAAAUUUUAUGUUUGGUUGGCGGGUUGCACAGUGGCGCAGUUGGUAGCACUGUGGCCUUCCCACAAUCCUGAGUUUUAUUUCUGGCCCGGCGGUCUAAUUGGUUUUUCUAAAUUCUCUUUAGGUGUCAGUGUGUGCAUGCAUGGUUGUCUGUCUCCGUGUUGCCCUGUGAUAAACUGGCGACCUGUCCAGGGUGGCCCCGCCUGUCACCCGUUGACAGCACCAGUGCCCCUCCCAACCACAAUGGGAUAAGGGUGUAAGAAAAUGGAUGGAUGGAUGGAUGGAUGGAUGGAUGGAUGGAUGGAUGGAUGGAUGGAUGGAUUGAUUGAUUUUUGGUUGGCCUUCAUUUAUAUAGGUUGUCUCAUUAAGGUCCUACAUCGCUGUCAUUUUGUGUGUAUAGAUGGUGGACCCAAAUGCAUGAGACAGAGGUUUCAAGUAGAUUUAAUAAAAAACAGAAACUUUCAAGAAAAACCAUGAAGAGCACUGGGAGCCAAGGCAGAGCAAAAAACACAGAACUCAGAAACAAGAGCCUGUUUGUGCCCCUAAACGAUUUGAGGGCCACAAACAAGAGGACGAUCCUCCGGAGUGAUGAUUGUUAUUGAACUGAGGUUCUAAAAACAUUUAAAAACAAGGAGGGAGUGAUCAUCAUCAUCAAAGCUGUUCAUAUAGCAAGAAGUAGCAAGGAGUCACAGCGAAGUCAAAGGAGAAAAGGUGUAGAAGUACUGAGACAGUGAAUGGUGGAACAAAAUACAUGGGCUAACUCACUGAUGAGAUGUAGGUGUGAGAAGAGAGAGAGAAAAACACGGGGGUGAAGGAGGGCACAAUGGGAACUUGGAAAUGAAUCUCACGUUAAAUAACAACUAGACAUAAGAAACAUAAGUAAACAUAAUAAACUAGCAUCACAGAGAAAGAACUGAACUAAAAACACGUUUAAUUUCCCAUUUUAAUCACACAAGUACCAAAUAUACUUUAAUUUGCAAUCAAAAAAUAAUUCCAAAAUUAUCUCUAAUCUCUCAUAUUUCUGGAGAACUUCAGAAGUUUGAGUUUUAAAAAUUUGAGGGCUGCCUGUCAUUCCCUAAGGAAGUAUCCAAGUGUCUAAGUCUGGUUUAGCUUGCUUUAAACAGUGCCAAUCAGUGCCAAGGAAAAUAAAUGGUGCGUCUCGAUUGGCUGCUUUUCACAUAGGGUAAGGUAGAUUUGGAUCACUUUUUCUCUUAACGAAUGAAACAAUUUGAAAACUGUAUAUUUUCAGGUUAUGACUGUCUGAUAUUAAAUUUGCUGUAUGAUCUGUAACAUGGCAGUAUGACAGUAAAGCUAGCAAAGGAGAAAUGAAUGUGGCCUGUCAAUCCAACAAAACUUAUAUUUGCAGUGAUUUGAGUUUCUCUGUGUUUAUUUUUGGUUCUGUUUUAUGUGAGUCUCUGUCCUGUCCUCCCUUUAUUGGAACGAGGUGUGUCUCAUUCCUGUGAUUACUAUUUAAUGUCACAUGUUGUCUCUGUCUC